Dendrobium catenatum is the source of this 146-nucleotide small nucleolar RNA. RefSeq annotates it as small nucleolar RNA snoR77. The record is from RefSeq and is a predicted model, not a curated record. Lineage: Eukaryota; Viridiplantae; Streptophyta; Magnoliopsida; Asparagales; Orchidaceae. The transcript has a single exon.
AGGCAGCCCCUUGGCCUGAUCGAGAUGGCAAAGGAGGUGUUGUUUUGCUCGGAGAUCAAAGCUUUUGCUCUUCAGAUACGCUGAGAAGUAUGGGGGGGUUUCUCCUUCUUCUUCUCUGAUGCGGGUCUAGUAAGCUUUAGUACAAG